Epinephelus lanceolatus (giant grouper) is the source of this 374-nucleotide non-coding RNA. The record is from RefSeq and is a predicted model, not a curated record. NCBI's taxonomy places the organism in Eukaryota, Metazoa, Chordata, Actinopteri, Perciformes, Serranidae.
CACCAGCUCCCAGCGGUUUGCAGAGAACAGCAGGUGCACCGUGUGGUCCUCCAGAUCGCUCUUCUUCUCCAGGUGUGACGAUGUCAGAGGAGCGAGCGCUGCGUCUUACUUAUGGCACAGCUGACCGAUGCCAUCUAAAGGAUGCAGGACUCCUGUAGAAGAUUCUCCAUGUGCGAGGAAGAACAGCACUGGCCGGUGUUUUGACAAGGCCUGCAAUGACACAACAGUAUGAUCACACAGGAAAAAUACAGAGCACCAAGCCUUACCUAUCCUCUCAGCCAUAUCUGCUGCUCGCUCUCCCCAUAUGCCGUUUACUGCCAUCAGUACGCUCUCCCCAGGCUCCACUGCGUUGAAGAUGGCACACUCCAUGGCAG